UAUUUAAUAAUAAAAUUAUAAAAUUAGAAUGAUACAGAGAAGAUUAGCAUGGCGUCUGCGCAAGGAUGACACCUAUAAAUCUAGAUAUGGUCUAAAUUUUU
Molecule: small nuclear RNA, 101 nt
Filed under: Erythranthe guttata (spotted monkey flower)
Lineage: Eukaryota; Viridiplantae; Streptophyta; Magnoliopsida; Lamiales; Phrymaceae
Source: RNAcentral